GUGCUCGCUUCAGCAGCACAUAUACUAAAAUUGGAACAGUACAGAGAUUAGCAUGGCUCCUGCGCAAGGCUGAUAUGCAGAUUUGUAAAGCAUUCCAUAUUUUU
RNAcentral lists this small nuclear RNA (104 nucleotides) under Mus spicilegus (steppe mouse). Lineage: Eukaryota; Metazoa; Chordata; Mammalia; Rodentia; Muridae. The record is from RNAcentral.